RNAcentral lists this ribosomal RNA (344 nucleotides) under Acinetobacter baumannii. Its description in RNAcentral is "bacterial SSU rRNA". It matches the Rfam family "Bacterial small subunit ribosomal RNA", at positions 96 to 443 of the family's 1533-position model. Lineage: Bacteria; Pseudomonadati; Pseudomonadota; Gammaproteobacteria; Moraxellales; Moraxellaceae. The record is from RNAcentral.
CGGCGGACGGGUGAGUAAUGCUUAGGAAUCUGCCUAUUAGUGGGGGACAACAUCUCGAAAGGGAUGCUAAUACCGCAUACGUCCUACGGGAGAAAGCAGGGGAUCUUCGGACCUUGCGCUAAUAGAUGAGCCUAAGUCGGAUUAGCUAGUUGGUGGGGUAAAGGCCUACCAAGGCGACGAUCUGUAGCGGGUCUGAGAGGAUGAUCCGCCACACUGGGACUGAGACACGGCCCAGACUCCUACGGGAGGCAGCAGUGGGGAAUAUUGGACAAUGGGGGGAACCCUGAUCCAGCCAUGCCGCGUGUGUGAAGAAGGCCUUAUGGUUGUAAAGCACUUUAAGCGAG